AGAGUUUGAUCCUGGCUCAGGAUGAACGCUAGCGGCAGGCUUAAUACAUGCAAGUCGAGGGGCAGCACGAAUAGCAAUAUUUGGUGGCGACCGGCAAACGGGUGCGGAACACGUACAGAACCUUCCUUCGAGUGGGGAAUAGCCCGAAGAAAUUCGGAUUAAUACCCCAUAGUAUUAUGAAGUGGCAUCACUUUAUAAUUAAAGAUUUAUUGCUUGAAGAUGGCUGUGCGCCUGAUUAGGUAGUUGGCGGGGUAACGGCCCACCAAGCCUUCGAUCAGUAACUGGUGUGAGAGCACGACCAGUCACACGGGCACUGAGACACGGGCCCGACUCCUACGGAAGGCAGCAGUAAGGAAUAUUGGUCAAUGGACGCAAGUCUGAACCAGCCAUGCCGCGUGGAGGAUGAAGGUCCUCUGGAUUGUAAACUUCUUUUAUUUGGGAAGAAAUGUGAUUAUUCUUUUUCACUUGACGGUACCAGAUGAAUAAGCACCGGCUAACUCCGUGCCAGCAGCCGCGGUAAUACGGAGGGUGCAAGCGUUAUCCGGAUUUACUGGGUUUAAAGGGUGCGCAGGCGGAUAUGUAAGUCAGUGGUGAAAUCUCCGGGCUUAACCCGGAAACUGCCGUUGAUACUAUAUAUCUUGAAUGCUGUGGAGGUAAGCAGAAUAUGUCAUGUAGCGGUGAAAUGCUUAGAUAUGACAUAGAAUACCUAUUGCGAAGGCAGCUUACUACGCAGAUAUUGACGCUCAUGCACGAAAGCGUGGGGAUCAAACAGGAUUAGAUACCCUAGUAGUCC
Molecule: ribosomal RNA, 793 nt
Filed under: uncultured bacterium
Lineage: Bacteria
Description: bacterial SSU rRNA
Rfam family: Bacterial small subunit ribosomal RNA
Source: RNAcentral